RNAcentral lists this transfer RNA (85 nucleotides) under Mariniflexile fucanivorans. Its description in RNAcentral is "tRNA-Tyr". It matches the Rfam family "tRNA". From Rfam's summary of the family: Transfer RNA (tRNA) molecules are approximately 80 nucleotides in length. Their secondary structure includes four short double-helical elements and three loops (D, anti-codon, and T loops). Lineage: Bacteria; Pseudomonadati; Bacteroidota; Flavobacteriia; Flavobacteriales; Flavobacteriaceae. The record is from RNAcentral. RNAcentral also lists the same sequence under 1 other name.
GGGGAGAUACUCAAGCGGCCAACGAGGGCAGACUGUAAAUCUGCUGACUUAGUCUUCGCAGGUUCGAAUCCUGCUCUCCCCACAA